Molecule: long non-coding RNA, 3390 nt
Organism: Pongo abelii (Sumatran orangutan)
Lineage: Eukaryota; Metazoa; Chordata; Mammalia; Primates; Hominidae
Source: Ensembl
CCUAUGAAUUUUAACACAAAGUGUACUCAAUGUAGUAGUUUACUAAUUCUACUUUUGUCAUAUACUGGCAACCUUUUUAACAUCGACUAGAUGUAAAUUAGGACUCCUAAGUCCGCUUAUAUACACUAUAUACACAGCACAGUAAAUGAAAAUGCAGACAUAAGGGACAAUAGUCAAUGUGCCUCCUCAUAAACACACUGGACACUGGUAGAAAGCCCUUUGCACUUUGUGCUCUUCCUUCCCCCGAACCAGCACAAAUAUCAAAAUGUGUACUGCUCAGAGAAUUGAUCAAUUUCCAAGACAAUAUUUCAUAUCAAAAGGAUAGCUACAAAAUGUGUUAUUUACUACCUCUACUUUUAACAUACUUUGUGCACUUCUAAACAUCUAGAAAGACUAGAUGUUUCAAAUAAGGACUUAAGUUUGUCCGCUAUAUACACAGUAGGGUUGAAUAAACUACACACAUGUAACAAUGGUUAUAUCUGAAAGUGUCUUCUAAAUAGGAACAUUCUGGUCUAGAACCCUUCAUUCCUUCCAACUCCUCUCCACCACCAACCUGGUGGAUAUAGGCACGUGUCACUUGGAGCUGAUGUUAUCUCACUUCCAAAGUCCUUUUCAGAAGACAGCCUUUCUAAAAUUUUAACAAAGUGUACAAAAUGUGUUAGUUUACUAACUCUACUUCUGUCAUACAUUGGCAACCUCUUUAAUAUCUAGAGACUAGAUAUUAUAAAAUUGGGACUCAUUUGUCCAUUAUAUACACAAUAUAUACAGUAGAGCAAAGUUAAAUGAAAUGCAUGUAACAUAUAGGCAAUGGAUUAAGCGGAAAUUUUCUAAUAAACAAUUGGCAAAACACCGUUUGCAAUUUCUUCCCUCCCACCUCCCAGGUGGUUCAACAAUUCCACUUCCAAACAGCAUUUCCAUCAGUUUUUAAAAGCUAUUUACAAAAAGUGUUAUUCUACUACCACGUUUAAAUACAUCAAGCACUUCCAAAUAUCUAGAAAGACUAGAUAUUUCAUAUAACUUGUCCACCACAUACACAGCACUGUUAAAUAAAAUUGCACACACAUAACAAUGGUUAUCAUCUGAGGUAUCUUCUAAAUGUGGCCAUUUUGGCCUUGAAUCAUUCCCUCCUCCCUUCUCUGCCUUCAAUCCAGUGGACAAGUACAGGCACGUGUAAUGCUUAGAGAUGGUUGAACAAAUUCCUAUGCAAAAGUCAUUUACAGAAGACAAGUUUUCCUAUGAAUUUCAACACAAAGCGUACAAAAUAUGCUAAUUUUACUACUUUGUCAUACACUGGCAACCUCUUUAACAUCUAGAGACUAGAUGUUGAAAAAUUAGGACUAUUUGUCCAUUAUAUACACUAUAUACAGAGCAAAACAAAAUGCACAAAACAUAUAGAAAAAUGGUGUCUGAAAACGUCCAAGUAUGAACAUACUAGUAUAUUACCUUUUGCAAUUUCUUCUCUCCCACCUCCUCUAAACCGUUGAACAAGUAUAGACAUUACUAUACUGCUCACAAAGGUGGCUUCACAAUUCAAUUUCCAAAAGUAUUUCCUAUGAAUUUUAACAAAAAGAUAUUUACAAAGUGGUAUUUUACUACCUCUACAUUUAACUACAUCGGGCACUUCUAAACAUCUAGAUAGACUAGAUGUUUCAAGUAAGGAGUUAAUUUGUCUACUAUGUAUACAGCAGUCUUGAAUAAACUGCAAACAUGUAACAACAGUUAUAAUUUGAAAGAGUCUUCCAAAAGUGAACAUUCUGGCCUAGAACCCUUCCCAUCUCCAUCAACCCAGAAGACAUCAAAUUUUCAGAAGACAAUCUUUCCUAGGACUUGUAAAACAAAAUGUACAAAAUAUAUUAGUUUACUAACUCUACUUUUGUCAUACACUGGCAACCUCUUUAACAUCCAGAAAGACUAGAUGUUGUCAAUUAGGACUCGUCUGUCCUUUAUGUACACUAUAUACACAGAUAAGUAAAACAAAAUGCACAGAGAUAAUGAUUCAUCUUGCCUCGCUGUAAACAGGACGGCAUAGAGCUCUCUGCACCUCCCCCUCCUCUGUCCUCCCCUGAACCACUGCACAAACACAAUGAGUAUUACUCAACAGGUGAUUUGGCCAUUCCCCCCAAAAAACAUUUCCUAUGAAUUGUAACAAAAAGGUAUUUACAAAAUGUGAUUUUGCUACCUCUAAUUUUAACAUAUCAGGCACUUCAGAACAUCUAAAAACAAUAAACAUCUCAAAAAAGCUUAACAUUGUCAACUAUAUACACAGUAGUGAGGAAUCAAAUGCACACAAAGCAAUGGAUAGAAUAUGAAAAUGUCUUCUAAAUAUGACCAGUCUAGCAUAGAACCUUCUUCUCUUCCUUCUCAGGUCUUCCAGCUCCAUGUCAUCUAACCCACUUAACAAACGUGGACGUAUCGCUUCCAGAGGCCGUCUUAACUCCAUUUCCAAAAGUCAUCUCCAGAAGACAUGUAUUUUCUAUGAUUUCUUUUAAACAAAUGAGAAUUUACAAGAUGUGUAACUUUCUAACUCUAUUUUAUCAUACGUCGGCAACCUCUUUCCAUCUAGAAGGGCUAGAUGUGACAAAUGUUUUCUAUUAAAAGGUUGGGGUGGAGUUGAGAGCAGCUUUUUCAUAUUAUAUACACAGGCCUUCCAUAAUCGGCCAGUAAAUCUUCCCAGAGGGUGGUGGGCAUUUCCAACGGGCCAAACGUGGCCUGUCAUUCUACCAUUUCUCUCUUCCGACAGCAAAGUCUGGGAGAACUAAGACCAAGCGCCCGAUGGCCGCUAACCGUUCCACCCGUCGUCGUUCGCAACCUCGCUCACCUUCCAGGCCCCUUAAGGCCUUUGUCCGUUGUCGUCAGGACUAGGUAGGUCUCGCCCAAUGGCGACAGAGUGGUCACCCGGGAACCGGAUCUGCGCGGCUCCGUGGCCUAAAGAGGCGGCCGAGACUGCUUGCGUCCCUAGGCCGCCUUCCCGGGCCCUCCACGCCUUAAUGGCCUCCGCCGCGCGGCGUUCGAGCGGCCGCCAUACUUCCUGGCCCACCACGCCCAGCGCUGCCCAAAGGCGCUGCGUCCCGACGGCUCUGCGGGGGUUUCGUCGAAGCCCGGCAGGCUUGGGUCGGGAGACCCCGCGGCCGGCGGGGUCCGGGCUGGGAGACGCCACGGCCGCCAUCAGUCACCGAGGUGGGGUGGGAAAGAGAGGUUCGCUGCGGCUUCAAGGCCUGAGCACAGCCAGUGGGCAGCCACAGCAGAGGCCUCAGGUAUCUGCAGGACAGAGGGCUCGGCCUGUCCCGGGGCCCCCCAGUUCACCCGCCGGCCCGGGGCCGGAGGGCCUGGAGGGCCCUGGAGGAGCGGGCUGCGUUCUGCGUCUCUCCGCGCUCUCUGCCGGACCGGAAC